CCUACGGGUGGCUGCAGUGGGGAAUAUUGGACAAUGGGGGCAACCCUGAUCCAGCGACGCCGCGUGUGUGAAGAAGGCCUGCGGGUUGUAAAGCACUUUUAGUGGGGAUGAAAAGCACAUCACUAACACUGGUGUGUCUUGACCUAACCCAAAGAAAAAGCACCGGCUAACUCUGUGCCAGCAGCCGCGGUAAUACAGAGGGUGCGAGCGUUAAUCGGAAUUACUGGGCGUAAAGCGUGCGUAGACGGUUAUUUAAGUCGGGUGUGAAAGCCCCG
RNAcentral lists this ribosomal RNA (275 nucleotides) under uncultured bacterium. Its description in RNAcentral is "partial 16S ribosomal RNA". It matches the Rfam family "Bacterial small subunit ribosomal RNA", at positions 338 to 605 of the family's 1533-position model. The record is from RNAcentral.